Molecule: ribosomal RNA, 308 nt
Filed under: uncultured bacterium
Lineage: Bacteria
Description: bacterial SSU rRNA
Rfam family: Bacterial small subunit ribosomal RNA
Source: RNAcentral
GACGAACGCUGGCGGCGUGCCUAACACAUGCAAGUCGAACGGAACUCGGGACUUCGGUUCUGAGUUUAGUGGCGAACGGGUGAGUAACGCGUGAGGAACCUGCCUUUCAGUGGGGGACAACAGUUGGAAACGACUGCUAAUACCGCAUAAUGUGUUUUGGGGGCAUCCCCGAGACACCAAAGCUUUAUGUGCUGAAAGAUGGCCUCGCGUCUGAUUAGAUAGUUGGUGAGGUAACGGCUCACCAAGUCUGCGAUCAGUAGCCGGUCUGAGAGGAUGAACGGCCACAUUGGGACUGAGAUACGGCCCAG